Molecule: unclassified non-coding RNA, 316 nt
Filed under: plant metagenome
Description: partial contains 5.8S ribosomal RNA, internal transcribed spacer 2, and large subunit ribosomal RNA
Rfam family: 5.8S ribosomal RNA (bases 1-105)
Source: RNAcentral
GAACUGCGAUAAGUAAUGUGAAUUGCAGAAUUCAGUGAAUCAUCGAGUCUUUGAACGCACAUUGCGCCCCCUGGCAUUCCGGGGGGCAUGCCUGUCCGAGCGUCAUUGCUGCCCUUCAAGCCCGGCUUGUGUGUUGGGUCGUCGUCCCCCCCGGGGGACGGACCCGAAAGGCAGCGGCGGCACCGUGUCCGGUCCUCGAGCGUAUGGGGCUUUGCCACCCGCUCGAUUAGGACCGGUCGGGCGCCCGCCGGCGUCAAACCCCCAAUCUUUCUAAGGUUGACCUCGGAUCAGGUAGGGAUACCCGCUGAACUUAAGC